UCGUAACAAGGUCUCCGUUGGUGAACCAGCGGAGGGAUCAUUAUCGAGUUAUUCAACUCCCAAACCCUAUGUGAACUUACCACUUGUUGCUUCGGCGCGCGCUUCGGCGCCGCCGAGGACACUUAAACUCUUUGUUUUUAUAAGCAUUUCUGAGUGGCCGAAAGGCAAAAAUACAAAUGAAUCAAAACUUUCAACAACGGAUCUCUUGGUUCUGGCAUCGAUGAAGAACGCAGCGAAAUGCGAUAAGUAAUGUGAAUUGCAGAAUUCAGUGAAUCAUCGAAUCUUUGAACGCACAUUGCGCCCGCCAGCAUUCUGGCGGGCAUGCCUGUUCGAGCGUCAUUUCAACCCUCGAGCCCGACUCUUUUGAGGACGGCUCGGCGUUGGGGGACGGCAGACUCCCCUCGGCAUCUCGCCGGGGACGCCGCCCCCGAAAUCUAGUGGCGGCCCUCCGAGGCGACCUCUGCGUAGUAACUUGUUCUCGCACCGGAAAGCUCAGAGCGGCCACGCCGUAAAACCCCAACUUUUUUCAGGUUGACCUCGAAUCAGGUAGGACUACCCGCUGAACUUAAGCAUAUCAAUA
Molecule: ribosomal RNA, 580 nt
Filed under: uncultured eukaryote
Lineage: Eukaryota
Description: eukaryotic LSU rRNA
Rfam family: 5.8S ribosomal RNA (bases 186-339)
Source: RNAcentral